UGGAUUUCUGCCAAAUUAUCAAAUAGACCAAGUAGUCUCAUUUUCUGUUAAUAUAUUUUGGUUUGGGGCUAGGAUUUUUAUGAAAACCCACCUUAAUUUGAAGGUGUGGUUCUAAUAAUGAAGAUUUCAGCUAACAACAGGUCAGCAAGGGCACAUCUCAUUUUUCACAGAGCAUUGGAGAGUCCAGUAUCCCCUGGUUAAGACUUUCAUUGCUUUUCCAUUUUGUGAAGACAGACCUAACACAUCACCCUGGAAGGAGUCUUCAAUAAUGAUAAUCGAUAGGUAGAAUUUUUUGAACACUUGCCAUCUGCUAGGCACUCUACUAGGACUUUAAAAUUACCAACUCAUUCAAUCCUUAUGAUGAACCCAGGAGUUAGAUAUAACUAUAAUCCCAAUUUCACAGAGGUGCAAAUUAAGACCCAGACAGAUGUAAUAGCCCACCUAAGUCAUAUUGGAAGUGGGGGAGCUUGGAUUCAAAUCCAGACUGCCUGGAUUUCCAGAGCACAUACUCAUAGGCGAAGUGGCCUCUUUAAUAAUAGUGGCUAUCCUUGAUUGAGAGUCUAUUUAUGCAAAACUAGCACCUAUCAUGUGUUUACAUAGUUUACAUAAGCAUAUUAUAUACACUUUCUCAUUUCUCACAACAACCUUAUGAGGUAAUUACAAUUCUUAUCCUCCUUUUACAGUUAAAGAAACAAAAGCACAGAGAGGUUAAGUGACUUGGCCCUGGAUUGCAGAGCUUGUGUAGGGUGAACUCAGGCUUACCAGGGCUCUGAACUCGGGGUCUUUCCUUAAGUCAUUCUGUAUCUCUUGAGAUCAGUUCUUUUUAAACUCUUCAUUUUAGAGACGAGAUUCAACAGGAAUAGGAUGAAGAAAAGCUCAGUGAGGGUGAUUACAUGUUAGGAAAUCUGUGAGGUAAGGGUCAUUGUCCUCUUUUUAUAUACAUUGGUUAUCAUACAUACUAAAGUGCUGUAACCAAGAGGCCCCCAAAUGCAGUGACUUAAACAAGAUGGAAGCUUAUUUCUCUUUUGUGUAACUGGCAGUUUGGUGGUCUGAGGCUGGCUUCCAUUUGUGGAUUCAAGGCAGCUGUUCUACUUCUUGUAAUUUCUUAGCCAGGAGAAAGGCAAUGUGGAGGGAAAACAGCCUGCUUUACAUAUACCACACAGUUUCUCCUACUUCAAUUACAUUGGUCAGAAUAUGGUCACAUGGCACCUAAGCUGCAAGGCAGGCUGGGAAAUGUCUAUAGGGGUGGCCAUAAGCUCUGGGAAAGGAAGGAGGGAGUAAUGGAUCUUGGGAGCUGUCAGCAGUCUCUGCCACAUCACAGGUGAGGACAUGGAGACUCAGGGGGUAAAUAUUUGCCCAAUGCCACAUAGUUCAUGGCAAACAUGGAACAAGCACAUUUUGAAGAGGAAUAGAUGUGGGAGAAGUGUCAGUAUGUGGGGCAAUAGCUUGACAGGCCAGACAGGGAGGCAGAGAAAGCACAUUGCAAAGCGAUGAGUGGCAAAAACAUGCCAUGGUGAAAGAAUCAGGGACCUGGAAGAGCCAAUCUCAGAGGUUGGUAGAGCGGAUAGCUGGGUGCUCAUUUGUGCUUAUGGAAUGGAUGAUGUGAUCUGAGGUAAUGACAGGAAGUGGGGCUUUAGGGUUGCACGACUCUAGGGAGUACCACUUCCAAACAGUACCAUGGGAGUGAUGCCCCCUGGGGUCAUGCACCAUGUUGACUCUGCCCAGAAGGCUCUUCUCCUCCUGCCCUGUUACAGGUUGGAUUCCUUGGGGAAGAGACAUUGAGAUGGGAGUUGGCAUCCAGGAGAUUUAUUAGGGAGAGCUCUUGGGAUCAAUACCUAUGGGGGGAAGGGAAGGAAGCAGGAUUGAAAAGAGGAGGAAACUGAGCUGUAAUAUAGUCUCAACAGAAAGCUCAGCCAACCUUAGGGGGAGUCCAAAGGUGGGAUGAUCUUCCAAACUUGUCUCUGAAGUUGUUCAACCAGAAAGCUGGGCCUGCACACCCUCUGUUAAUCACCAGUUGGGUGCAGGCUGCCCGGGCAAUGAGGCAUGACCUUGGGAAUGACCUUGGAUGAGGUAUCUCUCUUCAGCUGAAGCAAUCCCUGAAAGGGCCUAACUGCAAAGGGCUCUCUUUUAAAAGUCCUUCAAAGGUUGAGAUAAUACAUCAUCCCUCCUUUCUCAGGGGGAUCUUGGCAGCACCUCCCAGCAUCCACUCGAUCAACGCACUGCACUGCCUGCUCUUCCUCGUCAUAGAGUCUGUGUCUCGAAGACUUUGGGCUCCGCGACAGCUCCCUUUUUCAAGUCUCAAAUAUGCCUGGAUUGGUGGGGAGGGGUAUCUACAGCUUAGAUUUCAUUAUCAGUUAAUUAGCAGCUGGUUUAACUGUCAGCCCCUCCUGGGGUCUUUUGCUAGCAUCAGAGAACACUAAUGGGACAGACGACAUCAAGACUGGAUGGGACAAGUGACAAGAGGUCUACCAUGAAGCAGAAGGAGAAGCUGAGAGGGAGGGAAAGUCACAUUCCUCUUUUCCUCCCUGAGCUCAAGGCAGAUUCUGCCUGGGGUGAGGGUAGGAGAGAACAGGGCAAUGUGGGGGUUUUAAGUCAGACUUUGCCAACCUCACAAUUUUGCCCAAGGCCAAUCCUACCUCAGACAUCCCCUCUUCCUCUUGUUUGAACUUCUAAUUUUCUGUUUGCCAAGAUGGCUGCCUGUUCAGAUGAAUGAAAGAUCACAGUUUGAUCUGACCCAGAGUUUGGUUCUUUUCUCCCUCCUUCAGCAUCACAGUUCACGCAUCUGAGGGCUGCAGCUAAAAAGUGAUUUUUAAAGACUUCUCAUUGGCAAAGAAAUCAAUGGAAAGAAACCUCUGCCCCCCUCUCCAUUCUGCUUUUAGUCUUUGUUCUCCUCCAAUCCCCUGCUAGGCAAGUUUUGUCUGAGGCCAUCUAACACACUUUGUCAGAAAGUUGCCUUGUUAAGGAUUGAGGUCCUGCUGGGUGAGCUGAGGAGGUGGUGAGAUUUCCCCACAGUCUUGGCAAUUAACUCAGCUUGAGGAAGGGGGUAGAAUCAAGAAUUCUAUCAGGAAGAUGGAAUCCUAAGGCAAAGUCAUCUUUCAAGGACAGGGUUAUUGCUAAAAUAGCUCUAUGGCAGCCUCCAAGGAACAAGUCCCUGGAAGGAGUGGUGUUACCUGGAGGGGACAGGUAGGAGGGGGAUGACCUUUCAAAAAGGUGUGGAAGAAAAGGCUCAGGCACCCAGGAUGCUCUGCACUCCAGCUGACACUCAAUGGCUGUGUCAUCUUGGCUCCACUCUUCUCUGCACAGACCACCUCAUCUAUAACUCAUAGUUUCUGCAGAUCAAAAUAUCAGCUUGCACCAGACUUUGCAGGUGCUCCAUCCCUACUCUGCCUCAUGAGCUUUCGGCUUUCAUUCCCAUGAACAGAUGCCACCUUGUGUUUCUUAGUUCACAUUCUGAGAGAGGGAGUCUGAUUGGUUCAGCUCAUCUUUAUGCACUACGCCUCUGGAUUGGCUGCCUUUAGGUCAGGUGAUUGAAUCUAAGCCAAUCAGCUGUCCACAGAAGGGUGGACUCACACCUCGUAGCUUGGAAGCUGGCUCAGAAGGGACUGGUGCAGAGUGUGGCUGCCUACACGGGAACUGAGGACACUCACUUUUGGGACACAGACACCAUGCUGUGAGGAAGCCCAAGCAGCCUGAAGAGAGCAACCAAGCUCCCCAGCCCAUAGCUCUGGCUGGGUUCCCAGGCUAAAACUGGCACCAACUUGCUGGCCAUGUAAAGGAGCCAUCUUGAAAGUGAGUCCUGCAGCUGCCAG
This is a long non-coding RNA of Equus caballus (horse), 3809 nucleotides long. NCBI's taxonomy places the organism in Eukaryota, Metazoa, Chordata, Mammalia, Perissodactyla, Equidae. The record is from Ensembl.